AGGCGUUAAGACAAGAAAUAUUCUCAUGGGGGGCUGGUGUGCAAUGGCUGCAAACAGCAGCCUCCUUGGUAGUGUAUACAGCCUGUUGCUUAUAUAGGUUGCUCUAAGGCAGUGGUUCUCAACC
This 124-nucleotide small nucleolar RNA is filed under the name Otolemur garnettii (small-eared galago). Its description in RNAcentral is "Small nucleolar RNA SNORA70 (ENSOGAG00000032460.1)". It matches the Rfam family "Small nucleolar RNA SNORA70". Rfam says of the family: snoRNA U70 seems to be exclusive to mammals and is a member of the H/ACA class of snoRNA which contain H (ANANNA) and ACA box motifs. H/ACA box snoRNAs are involved in the conversion of uridines to pseudouridines (5-ribosyluracil) a constituent of structural RNAs (transfer, ribosomal, small nuclear, and small nucleolar). The record is from RNAcentral. Lineage: Eukaryota; Metazoa; Chordata; Mammalia; Primates; Galagidae.